This 270-nucleotide ribosomal RNA is filed under the name uncultured bacterium. Its description in RNAcentral is "partial 16S ribosomal RNA". It matches the Rfam family "Bacterial small subunit ribosomal RNA", at positions 88 to 354 of the family's 1533-position model. The record is from RNAcentral.
AUGGCGACCGGCGUACGGGUGAGUAACGCGUAUCCAACCUGGCCGUGACAGAUGGAUAACCGGGAGAAAUCCCGCCUAAUACAGCAUGACGCCGGGAAGGGACAUCCCUUUCCGGCCAAAGGGGGCGACUCCGGUCACGGAUGGGCAUGCGGCGCAUUAGGUAGUUGGUGGGGCAACGGCCCACCAAGCCGACGAUGCGUAGGGGUUCUGAGAGGAAGGUCCCCCACAUUGGAACUGAGACACGGUCCAAACUCCUACGGGAGGCAGCAG